CAGCAGCCGCGGUAAUACGGAGGGGGCUAGCGUUGUUCGGAAUUACUGGGCGUAAAGCGCACGUAGGCGGCUUGGUAAGUUAGAGGUGAAAGCCCGGAGCUCAACUCCGGUAUUGCCUUUAAGACUGCCGAGCUAGCAGGUGAGAGAGGUAAGUGGAAUUCCGAGUGUAGAGGUGAAAUUCGUAGAUAUUCGGAAGAACACCAGUGGCGAAGGCGGCUUACUGGCUCAUACUGGACGCUGAGGUGCGAAAGCGUGGGGAGCAAACAGGAUUAGAUACCCCUGUAGUCCCUGUCUCUUAUAC
This 301-nucleotide ribosomal RNA is filed under the name uncultured bacterium. RNAcentral describes it as "partial 16S ribosomal RNA". It matches the Rfam family "Bacterial small subunit ribosomal RNA", at positions 509 to 807 of the family's 1533-position model. The record is from RNAcentral.